UCCGGCGUGGUUGAAGGCCAAAAACGUCAUGUUUUACGCAUUCGUAAUGCGAAGGUCGGGAGUUCGAGUCUCUUCUCCGGCACCA
RNAcentral lists this transfer RNA (85 nucleotides) under Thauera sp. UPWRP. RNAcentral's name for it is "tRNA-Thr". Lineage: Bacteria; Pseudomonadati; Pseudomonadota; Betaproteobacteria; Rhodocyclales; Zoogloeaceae. The record is from RNAcentral.